GUGCGUCUCACGCGACCGCUUCUCUUUCCUCCACUACUGUCCUGAGGUCAGUGAGAACAGCACAAACGCUGAAAACCCGUCCUAAAGGGGUGGUGCUCUGUACACACUCAAGUACAACUUGGGAGGGAAGUCUGGCUAAUUCGCUGAAGCUGUUGACGCUUUUAAACGGACUCCAUCGAGUGAACACAGGUGUCCGCAGGGGUCAAGGGUGACGACCCCUCCUCUGUUUUCAAUCCUGCAAUGUUCCGCUUCAAUGCCCGGACCCUCAAUAGUGAUGUCCUGAGGUACAGGGGCGUCAUCGCGACCUAUGCGUGUCACUCCUAGACAAUAAAGACACUCGUUUUGUAAGUAUGAGAUUUGUGAGUUUAAUUUAAGAAAGACCUACCACUUCAGUGUGAGUAAAUUGAGAAUUGAAGCUCUGGUCUGACUCGGGUUCGAGGAUACUUGCAGGACAGUUUGCCUCUGUGUCCUGUACCACACAAGGAGAACAAAGGGCUGAUAUGUUUAAAUGUGGAGUAGCAAUAUGUUCAUGAUUCUCUUUUGUCAUACAAAAAACAACCAUUGCAGCAAUGCUUGGCAGCCUUAGACUUCUGUUUCAUGGAGAAAAGCAGGAUGAACAUUCUUCACUAUUCAUUUUCCCCCAUGGAAUAUGAGUUGGAGAGGUAUAAAGGUAGACAGGCGUGUUCCUGCAGGAAUGUCCCAGUAUUUUGCUUUGGAGAAUGGCUUAGGUAUGUCACCCCAGGAUCAAAAUACCAGCUACAUUCCUCUCUAGCACCUCUCCGUCCAAUCAGCUCGUAGGAUUACAGAUGUGGGCGACUGUGGGGCGAUAAGGGCAGGUUUGCUAUUUACACGCUGGAAGAUCUUUGUUCGCUGACCCUGACUAUGGCUUUAAUCAUCAAGACCUCUUGAUCCAGUCUUGAUCAACAUUAUUUAUUUUUCUGACUGCAUCAUUCCUCACCCACAUCCUUAACCUGGCUGCAAUGCAUGUGGGAAGAACCUGACAUUUGCUCAGUCACCUGCUCUGUAAUGAGUUAUCUCUCAUUACUAAUCUUCAAAUGACACAUAAUUGUCCCUUUUCUUCACCCUGGAGACCUGGAGAACCCAGCAGAACCCUCAGCAAACAGAAGAUAUAUGAGUGUUAAGCGAGUUAGAGAAAACAUUGGAAGAUGUCCACAAGCAGUCCUUUCCCACAAGGCCACAGCAAGACCAGAAACAACGACUGGAAUGUGGACAUGGUCACUGGAAAUGGAGGUGUGGCGGAACCUCUUGCUCUCUGCUUGAUGUGAAGAUGGUCACGUUGUUUCUGUGAGGACUGGUAGUUCCUCAGACCCUGUACCAGGCCCCUGGCGAUGGUUUUGACACGUGGGGUUAGAAUAGCCUGCGACACAUGAAAGCUGCCGUAUUUGGCUCUUUCACCCAGCGUGGUCUCCAGGAACUGGAUGAGUUUGGUGGUGUCUGUAGUAUUGGCCCACGGUGCAGGAAUUUUACUACCAGGCCACAUCACAGGACAGCCCUCAGCAGACGGAUGAUGAUAAUUCAGAGUGAUCUCCUCCACCACAUCGAUCCUGCAGAGCUUGUGACCGAACACGUCCUGCAACAUCUUGAUUAGGCCGUGUAUGAAGUAUAUCUCGUGGCCUGCUUCUCCUGGUUUAGAGGACACCCGCAGGUCGAAAUAGCGAAUGCCUCCCUCAAGCUGUUCCCUGAAGGUCAGGUUCUGGGUCAUGGACCACUUCUUCAUCACCUUCUUGGCCAGAAAACGGAAUAUCGCAGCCAGGUGUUUGACAUACGCUUUCUGGUCUGGACCAACUGGAGCUUGUUCGUCCACCCAAAAACUAAAGGAAUCAUGAGAGCCUGAAAUGUAAAACAGAUAAAA
RNAcentral lists this long non-coding RNA (1873 nucleotides) under Danio rerio (zebrafish). Its description in RNAcentral is "si:dkey-11p10.11 (ENSDARG00000096452.4)". The record is from RNAcentral. Lineage: Eukaryota; Metazoa; Chordata; Actinopteri; Cypriniformes; Danionidae.